This is a long non-coding RNA of Athene cunicularia (burrowing owl), 999 nucleotides long. RefSeq lists it as uncharacterized. The record is from RefSeq and is a predicted model, not a curated record. NCBI's taxonomy places the organism in Eukaryota, Metazoa, Chordata, Aves, Strigiformes, Strigidae. The transcript has 3 exons.
AAUGUUCAGUCUUUGGAUGGGGUAGCGCAGAUGCGACCAAACGGUCUUGCCUGACGCGAUUGGAUUAUUUAUUCAUGUUUAUGUUGAUCAUAUAACCCUGGCUGUGGUUCCUUAUCAACGUGUGUGUGACCUCGAUAGAGCAGGCUGUUAGAUCAGAAGCUCGUGUGCAUGAGAAACCUGGAUAGCACAGGUUCCCCUGCAUGCACCUCCCCAAAAGACCUGUAUUUCUUCUGUGCUGAAGGGAAGAUUUCUGUCAACUUCAUUUAGAGACGGAGGGAAACUAUAAAAGUUUCCUUUUGAAACUGAUUGCCUGGAGUCCCGUAUGGGAUAUCAGAGACUGAAACCUGUAACAGGAGAAUGAAAACAGGAGAGAAACUUGACUUCCAACUAGAUGUAAGAAGAGUCACAGUUUUGUGGCAAUGAAAUAAUCCUGCUGAAUGGAGAUAUUGCUGAUGCCUGUGUGAUUUUGUUUGAAGAGAAUAAGCAGAAAAUGAUCAAAGAAACAUUGAUAAGUUACUCAACCACUGUCCACUUCAAGUUCAGGUGUGGGUCAUGGUGCACUGAUCCCUAUUAUCUCUAGUUCUCCGAAAGCAAAUGUACUUAGCAGAGUCUGAUAGAAGUUUCGCUUCAAUUGAUUUACACCAGAAGUCUAGUGCCUGCAAAACUGUGGCCAAGAGAGGAACCAAAGGUGCAAAACCAUAUCCUCUUCCCAAUUCUUUACUAACUGUGCAGUGUAAUCUGAUCACAGGAGGAUGGAAAUGUUUAUAUGACAUGACAGCAUGAGAGGAGGACAUAAUUUACACUGUGCAACAAGAGGCAUUCCCUGACACUAAAUAGCUACAUGCAUUUUUGCCCUGGGCACCACCAAGGCAGAGACAUGACUAUCUAAAUAGGAGGCUAGAAGGGGUAAUGGGGUCAGCUGAACUUCAAUUCCCAGAAAAAUCUUGUAACUUUUUAUAAGCAUCUAGAAUAAAACAAUGAGAUAUAUAAUAGCUGCCA